CAGCACUGGGACAGGCUUUGCCUGUAAAAGGGCUGGUCUGGGGGGACAUCUGAACCCAAUUCGGGAACACCUCACAGGUCUGCCAGCAGGGCUAGACCCUGGGUGAGAUCCAGGGCAACAGGGUCUGCCUGGGAAGCUCAGCUCCGGCACUGCCUGGGGCAUCUCUGCCCACACAGGACCAUUCCUCUCGCCUGGACUCCUCUUGGAGUUUGCCAAGGCUGGCCUCUGCAGAAAUAGGAGACUCCUGGAGGAAGAGAGUGGACUUCAGCAAGCUGCACCAAGGAGAAUCCACAGCGGCAGCUGCCCUGCCAGGCGCGGGAUCUCAGUCAAGGUGGAUCAACACAGCCUCAGGUGUGUGCUGUGCCCCACUGAGAUGGCGAGUGCAUUCUUUUCUAUUCCUAUGAGGAAAGAGCAUCAGAAAGAGCCUGCAUUCACAUAGGAUGAAUAACAGUGGACCUUGGCUUUGCCUCAGUGUUAUGUGCUAAUAAACCAUUUGUUCUAUGCUCUAAGGAAGCCCAGAGAGAGCUGGACAAGCUGGAUAUCCCAAAGAGCAUGACACUGGCCCACCACACUGAUUACAUCGCGCUGGCCGGGUGCUAACCAAGAAGCGGCUAACACACUGGGAGUCUUGGUAAGAUGCCUGAGUGUCUGCAGCUGGCAGACAAACCCUACAAAGAUUCUGGGAACUGCCACUAAUAACACUCUUGGUGGGGAGGUCCCAUAACCAGGAGCAUACUGGGCCUCACGUCCACAGCAAAGAGCCAAUUACUGCAUCUUGCUUCUCCCAUGACCAAGAGAGACAGACAAUGCCAGUACACCUUCUGGAGGCAGCACAUUCCACACACGUGAAGACCACUCCAGUCUACGUACCGUUGAUAUGAGAAGCUGUCGGCCUUCCCUGAGCCUGCAGCAGGUCGAGGCUGCAGUGCGGGCAGCCCUGUGACUCAGGCCCUGCAGCUAGUCAGACCCUGUGUUAUGACAGGUAUCAGACGUGAGAAAGCAAUGCUGUGUGUUUUUGGCAAUCUACUAUGCCAGAAUCACAGUGCAGGCCCCUGGGAUUCAGAAACAAAGCCAUGCCAUCUGUGGCAGAGGAUUCUGCAAAAAAUUCUGAAAAGUCCCUGCUGAUGUGCUCCUGGGGCCUGGGGUGAUGGAAUACCUGAUUGUGCAUGUGGACCUGCUCAGAUGAGCUGGAUUCUGUCACAGCCCUGGGUCAUGAGGUUGGGGACUCAGAAAUAACCCAUCACAGGUGGGAGUGUGCGUGUGGCAGCAGCAGAAGCAGGAGCAGGAGGCCAAGCAGCGGCAGCUGCCCAGUACCCCGCCACCCUCCACAGCAGUCCCCACAGCCCCAGUGGAGGAACCUUCCGGUGAACUGAGGAGGGAGGGACAAGCCCGGCCUCAGGUCAUGGAGGUGUCUGCUCUGCCUGUGGGGCCAGCCCAAAUUGCCUGGCUGCCAUACUCUAGCCUCAGCAAGCUGCCCUUUAAAGAGGGUGAUAUGGUUUGGCUCUGUGUCCCCACCCAAAUCUCAUCUUGAACUGUAAUCCCCAGGUGAUGAGGGUGAGACCUGAUGGGAAGUGAUUGGAUCAUGGGGGCGGUUUCCCCUAUGCUGUUCUCGUGACGGUGAGGGAGUUCUCAUGAGAUCUGACGGUUUUAUAA
This is a long non-coding RNA of Pongo pygmaeus (Bornean orangutan), 1653 nucleotides long. RefSeq lists it as uncharacterized. The transcript is spliced from 2 exons. The record is from RefSeq and is a predicted model, not a curated record. NCBI's taxonomy places the organism in Eukaryota, Metazoa, Chordata, Mammalia, Primates, Hominidae.